AACGAACGCUGGCGGCAGGCUUAACACAUGCAAGUCGAGCGCCCCGCAAGGGGAGCGGCAGACGGGUGAGUAACGCGUGGGAACGUACCCUUUGCUACGGAAUAGCUCCGGGAAACUGGAAUUAAUACCGUAUGUGCCCUACGGGGGAAAGAUUUAUCGGCAAAGGAUCGGCCCGCGUUGGAUUAGCUAGUUGGUGGGGUAAUGGCCUACCAAGGCGACGAUCCAUAGCUGGUCUGAGAGGAUGAUCAGCCACAUUGGGACUGAGACACGGCCCAAACUCCUACGGGAGGCAGCAGUGGGGAAUAUUGGACAAUGGGCGCAAGCCUGAUCCAGCCAUGCCGCGUGAGUGAUGAAGGCCUUAGGGUUGUAAAGCUCUUUCACCGGAGAAGAUAAUGACGGUAUCCGGAGAAGAAGCCCCGGCUAACUUCGUGCCAGCAGCCGCCGUAA
This 447-nucleotide ribosomal RNA is filed under the name uncultured bacterium. Its description in RNAcentral is "partial 16S ribosomal RNA". It matches the Rfam family "Bacterial small subunit ribosomal RNA", at positions 29 to 523 of the family's 1533-position model. The record is from RNAcentral.